Molecule: long non-coding RNA, 322 nt
Organism: Danaus plexippus (monarch butterfly)
Lineage: Eukaryota; Metazoa; Arthropoda; Insecta; Lepidoptera; Nymphalidae
Exons: 3
Source: RefSeq, a predicted model, not a curated record
CAAUAAACUCGUUACAAACGUGACUGGAUUAAGUCACCUUCCGUUGGAACCAUUCGAUACAAACAGUUUUGUUAUAGGAUUUUACAAUCAAUUACAUGCAAUCCAGAUGGUGUUUGGAGAUAAAGGGACAAAGGAAGCAGCUGCAAUUUAUGUAUAAUAGAAGACAAUGGUUCAUUUAAAUUAUUAUAUAUAAACUCUUUGAAGUCUCCGAGAAUCUAAAACCAGUUUAAAGAUUUCACAUAUUACUUUUGAAAUGAUCGGGAGAAGAGAAAAGUCAGCGACUUAAACACUUCCUGUAUGAAAGAAAGACUCAAUUGUAUCU